AUAUCUAUUUCAUAUUCUGACAAUGUUUAUGCUGCUACUGAUCGAGAAAAGAGGGAAGAACUGAUCUCGUUGAUGUUGUAGAAGAUGAAUCUGUAAUGGAAUUAGGGAAUUGAUGUCUGUAAGAUUUCAAGAAACAAGGGUUUGAGGUGAACUUGAGAUGAAGUGAAGAUUUAAGGGUUUGAUGUCUGUUUUGUUGAUGUAGAUUACGUUGAGGGGUGCAACAAAAUCAAAAGAUUAAGGAUUACGUUGAGGGGUGCAACAAAAUCAUACUUAAGAACAGUGGAAAACUCUUACAUUGACAGCUCUGACGAGGGGAACCAAGUGGAGGAGGAUAUAAAGAAGGGGAUUGAGAAGAAGAAGGUGGAAAAGAGGGCAGAAGAAAAUGGAAGAUGAAUUACAGAGGAGGAGAAGAACAAGUAGAAGUUGGUUCGUUUUCUAAUAAUUGUUUCUUAAUCGAAUUAGAGUUGAAUAAC
Molecule: long non-coding RNA, 473 nt
Organism: Papaver somniferum (opium poppy)
Lineage: Eukaryota; Viridiplantae; Streptophyta; Magnoliopsida; Ranunculales; Papaveraceae
Exons: 3
Source: RefSeq, a predicted model, not a curated record